This 953-nucleotide long non-coding RNA is filed under the name Triticum aestivum (bread wheat). Its description in RNAcentral is "long non-coding RNA (TAES_LNC027560)". Lineage: Eukaryota; Viridiplantae; Streptophyta; Magnoliopsida; Poales; Poaceae. The record is from RNAcentral.
GCACACGAACAUGCUAUCAAUAGACUAUAGGAAAAAGAAAUCUAAACAGUGAUCUAUUCCAUCUUCGUAUAUCCUAAACAGAAGAUUUUUCACUAAUAGAACAGGGUAGCCGUUUAGGUGUAAGAAAACCAUGACCAGCCACAACUUUUCUCAUUAUAUCAUCUCUGAACUUCUAGACUGUUGCUUCGCAAAAUUUCCCUGGCCGCAUUACUUGCCUCGUCAUGUGGUUGUUGCUUAUCUGGAAUGGCCUCGGGUCCGAACUAUGAGGGCAGACCUGCAUUUCACACAUUUGUCAAAAGUGUAAUACUGCUGAAACCAAUGCAUCCGUCACAUAUAGAAGUGGAAUCAAACUACAUUUUUCAGAAACCAAAUACAAAAAAUAUUUUGAAGUUAAUAUCAGUGAAAAUUCAAAGAAGUUGGAAUACUUCCGGAGUGAGAGUUCAGUGGACAAAGAGAGAGAUAGGAGCUAAUUUUGUUUACUAACUAUACAUAGUUCAGUACUGUAUCCGACAUAAUCAAAUAAAAUUCAAUAGAGUACUCCUCCAAGCAUUUACACAGACUUGUUGUGAGCAACAAACACCAUGCGAAGUGAGAUGGAGCAUAGGAGCAGCAUCAACAAUACAUGAUAGAGAUUAGAACAGCGGAAGUGGCUAACACGAGUGAAAGCAGAGCAGAGAUAGCAACAGCAACAUGCGUCAGUUUGGAGCAAGAACAAGGAGGAGAGAGAAGAAAUGCCACGGCGGAGAGAGCGGCAACGCAGCGACCAACGACGAGAAUGCUAGGGAGGACGGGAGUGUUGGUGCUCACGCGAUGCGGUGCUCUGCUUGUGCCGGAGCGAGGGGUGAGCUGGGGACGGCGAGCAGGUUGACCACCCAGGAGGACGACAGCCUACAGGGAGCAGCACCACGAGCUCCCUCCCUUGCUGAUGAAGCGAGCAAAUGUGGCGAUACUCG